RNAcentral lists this ribosomal RNA (510 nucleotides) under uncultured bacterium. RNAcentral's name for it is "bacterial SSU rRNA". It matches the Rfam family "Bacterial small subunit ribosomal RNA", at positions 32 to 529 of the family's 1533-position model. The record is from RNAcentral.
AAAGCUGGCGGCGCGCUUAACACAUGCAAGUCGAGCGAGAACCGGUCCUUCGGGACCGGGGACAGCGGCGAACGGGUGAGUAACACGUGGGUAAUCAACCCCCGGCACCGGGAUAGCCCGAGGAAACUCGGAUUAAUACCGGACGGCCCAGCAGCUCUUCGGGGCGGCUGGAAAAGGUAGCUUCGGCCUCCGGCCGGGGACGAGCCCGCGGCGGAUUAGCUUGUUGGUGGGGUAACGGCCUACCAAGGCGACGAUCCGUAGCUGGUCUGAGAGGACGAUCAGCCACACUGGGACUGAGACACGGCCCAGACUCCUACGGGAGGCAGCAGUGGGGAAUCUUGCACAAUGGGCGAAAGCCUGAUGCAGCGACACCGCGUGAGGGAAGAAGGCUUUCGGGUUGUAAACCUCUUUCAGGAGGGACGAAGCCACUCGGGUUAAUAGCCCAGAGGGUGACGGUACCUCCAGAAGAAGCCCCGGCUAACUACGUGCCAGCAGCCGCGGCAAUACGUA